Molecule: long non-coding RNA, 268 nt
Organism: Rhipicephalus microplus (southern cattle tick)
Lineage: Eukaryota; Metazoa; Arthropoda; Arachnida; Ixodida; Ixodidae
Source: RefSeq, a predicted model, not a curated record
AGGUACAAACAGUAGCACCAAGGCAUGCAACAAGCCUUGAAGACCGUACAUCCAAGACAUCUGAAUGUCUUUGAAUGAUCUUCAAAUUGCCACGGAUGCUCAAGCAUGGACUUGUGACAAAGUUUUUCAACUAAGACUUGAGUAAACUUGACAUUGAGUAAAUCAGUUAGCAUGGUCUACAGUACAUUUCAAACACCAUGAAAUAAUGAUCAUCACUAAAUAAAAGUCAAUUUAAGCUUCUCAAUGGAAAUAAUAAAGCAUAUGGGAC